This 120-nucleotide ribosomal RNA is filed under the name uncultured bacterium. RNAcentral's name for it is "partial 16S ribosomal RNA". It matches the Rfam family "Archaeal small subunit ribosomal RNA", at positions 747 to 866 of the family's 1478-position model. The record is from RNAcentral.
CUAGCCGUAAACGAUGCUCGCUAGGUGUCAGUCACGGUGCGACCGUGAUUGGUGCCGUAGGGAAGCCGUGAAGCGAGCCACCUGGGAAGUAUGGCCGCAAGGCUGAAACUUAAAGGAAUU